UUGGCGCGGACUCUCCGGACUCGCGGCCGUGGUCAGUCUCUCGGUUCCGAUCAGAAGUGCCAGCAGAAGCCACACGGUUCGACGUCGUCGCCGAUUGCGCUCUCUUCUUGGUGUGGAAGAAAAACCAUCACAACACACACAGUCUGUGCGCUUGAUUUUUGAAUAGUGGAAAAUUGUGGGAUUUCCUUUUUGGAGGAAAAACUGUGACGGGGGAGUGAGUGUGAGAAUUAGCACCUGGAAUCCUGGAGGAGGAAAAAGCAUUGCGGGCGAUCACCACGGUCGAAGUCAGCGGAGUGUUAUCUGCGACUCGGAAACUGGUGUCUAUUGGUUAAAGGGUUGUGAUCGUCAUGAACGUGAUUCAGGAGUGAAAAAACGGGAUCGUCCUGAAGUGUGAUUAAUGGGGGAAGGCCGAAAAAGGUUGUAGUGACCCAUCGUCGGAAGUGCGGUGUGGCGCCGCGCCGAAGAAGAUGCCCGGAAGCUGUGAAGCCAUCGAGUGAAAUUGCUCAACAAAAGCGAAAAAGUAUUACGGUUAGUGAAAACGAAAUUGCUCAAAUGCGAAAACCCAAUCCUCCGCCGUUGCCAAUUCGAGAAACGAGGAAGAGUGGAUUGCGAUUGUGAACGAGUGCAAGAAAAAAAAAAUACUGCCCAGCUCUUCAGCGGGAGUGGUGAAAGGCUCUUGAAGAGUGAAAAGAGUAGCUGCCUGAAGAAAAAACGAAGAAUGAAUGUUUCAUAAAGAAGGAUUUCCUCUGCUGCCAGCCGACACGACGGAAGCCCGGGAUUACCGUCUUGUGAAUCUCCAAGGAAACGACAUCGGCUCUGUUGCGCGGCCUGCUUGGAUCACCUGCAAACACCGACGGCAGAUAUAAAAUCAACCACAGCCCCCAUAACUGUUAACGACAGGCAAAACAAGCGGAAUCUCGGAUUUCAACGCUGUCGUCGCCAUUGUUGCCGCAUAUCGCCCCCAGUAGAAAUGGCUCGAAAAAUCGCACUCAAAACCAAAUAACUCACCGGCAAGUCACCAUGUAGCCAGUGUGAAGACAAAAAAAAACAGCAGAUCCGCCAAACGUAACGGAACGGGACGAAAAAUGUGAACAAAACUCUUCGUAACACAUUCGGGCUCAUCCGUGCGACGGAUGUCAGGUUGGCAGAACGCGGGCCGUCGAGCAACCAAGCGAAAUUGAGCGAACGAACGAACGAACGACUGAAACCAGAAGAACCGCGGGCGGAACUAUAAAUGUAAAUUAAAUAAUUAAAAAUAAUUUCUCAUUUCGGGCCGAGAGAGUGAGUGGCGGAAAAAUAAGAAUCAAUUCGCGUCGCGACGGGAAAGUGAUUAGCGCGGUAGUGUGAUGAAAACAUUCCUCAAGGUGAGGCUAGAAAGCGAGGUGUGCCAAACGUCAAAACGCAGUUCAAUCGCAGUAUGCGCCGGGCAGAGGGGGUAUUGUUGUAGUUAUCCCCGAAUUUGUGAAAGGAAAAUCUCUUCUCCGAAGGUUGUGCUCUACAGUUUUACUCACUGUUUUAAUAUCUUUCCUCACGACUACAUUGUAAUAAGCUUUUAGCUAGAUAAGAGUAAAUAGAAAAGAAGUGUUUCUACACGUCGUACUCUCACAAGUAUAAAUAUAUAUAUAUUUCUGUGGUAGUUACUGUAUUAAUGGGAAGAAGAAGAGAAAAUGUUAAAUAGUUGUUACUCGGUAGCUCUCUUUCUAGUGUAAUUGUAUAGUAGAACAAAGAAACGUAUUUUCUAUCGCAAAAUUUUUAACCUGCUGUGAAACGUGUUGUAACCUGCUAGAAGCAGAUAUCUCGAGCGGUUGUGAACUCUGAGAAGAAAACCCAAACCUUUCCCACUAUCAAGCGCGGAGUGAAGUUUCAACUCUGACGCAACCCGAAACCGGCAGACAAGAAGAAGAAGAAGAAGAAAAACCAUCAAAGCAACAAAACCAAGUACACAUAUACAUUCAUAACGAGUACCGUCCUAUUAAAAAAAAGUAGAGGAAAUUUUAACCACACAAGAGCGAAGCAAAUACUCAAAAGUCUCGACGAGUCUCCGAAAAAUGUGCCAAAUUCGCGUCGCCACUUCCGUACUGGUGGCCGCCGUAUUCGUCGCGUCGAACAGCCAAGCUCAGCAAGCGAGGAGCACAACAGGUCAUGUCUGUGGCUACUGCGACCGUCACUAUUGUAACUGAGAGAUGAGUGAUGCCCUCAGUAGGCGGCAUAGUUGAACGACGCGAUUAAAUACUAGAACAAGCGGGGAAAGUGAUGGAGCAGCGUCCACCGUCGAAUGUGUUGUUGUCGUUGUCGUCGUUGUUACUGUUGCUGGUGCUGCCGCCGACAGGAGAAAUAUGAACCGCGCGCCGGAAGGUGCCAACAAGGUCGCUGCGAUAUCUCGGAGGGAUAGCAUCUAACGGGGGAAGGUGAGAAAAACGUAAUUAAUCUUGAUAAUUACCGGGUACAACUCGGUGAAACUCAGCUGAAUUACGGCAGCCAUCGACGAUAUUAAUGGGGUUCCUGUGAGUGUGGAAACAGAAGAAUUGUUGAUAAACAGAGUCCCAGACAAAAGCGCUGGACGCUCCCGUUGCAUCGGUAAUCGAAGAAGGCGUGCAGCGCGUGCAGAAUACAGUUGCCAAGCAACGCGGAACGUGUCAAAAGCCGUCGGCCUACUGAUUCUGAAGUGAAAAAGAGGUGAUGUGAAGCUGGGUGUGAAGGGUCUUGAUCGAACGACAAGUGAGCUAGUCAGCUGGUGUACCGAAGUGUGCGUGUGAUUAGAUCUUGUUCUACGGAGAACGAAGACCGUCGUCAAGUGGUUGUGGUUUGUGAACGACCCGGGAAAUCCGGUAGUGGACGAAUAGGUCAAGAGUACUCGUGGCUGAGACAUCGCCGUUGCUGGGAAGGUUGUUUGGCAGAAAAGUGUUUGAACGAGUGAGAAGGAACUGUGAAACAGGUUGGUACGCUGGCUAAACAUCAGACUGUAGCGAAACGACUGAAACUCUCAAUUGGUACGUAAACUCAUCGAUCCGCAAUUUCUGGCGACCCAGAUCUCAUCCACUCUAUUUCAAUCAACAAGGGUGAAGUGCUUCCAUCGCCUCUCAUUUUUCGAUUUAAUCCCUCCAUCAACCACUCGGCUAAUCCCUUGAAGUUCGUCGAUGGCAGGGCUACAGAUGUGUAUUCACCUCUCUCCACCUUCCCUAGUUCCCCAGUUCACUUGUGCCAAUUAAGCGCACCUUUUCCACCUGAGAUGUUGCUCGAGUAUGGCGGCGGUGAGAGUUUUAUCACGUUUCGUCACCACAGGUUGCCGUGCCGCCGCUGUCUUCAGGGGAGUGGAGAUCCUUUUGCGACGUCUUUGCCCCUGCCUACUCUAGAAGGGAUGGGAAAAAAGGAACCACGUCACAAUAGAGUGAAGUGGGGGAAAAUAUGAAGUUGGAGAAGGUUUCGAAAUGAAGUUAUAAAUUACACGGUUUCGCACAUUUUUGCAUUGCUCUAAUUUUCACUUUUUUUUUAUUGAUAUCGACUAGAAACUUAUAAUUCUGAAGUUUUUGGAGAGAGAUAUCGAACAAUUUUGAGGUUUUCCGAUCAUUCCCCUCUCAGAAUCGAACGAAACUUUGUGGACAUAAACAAUAGGUCUUUCUAAGCAACUUUGCAUGUUUUGUUUUUCAAAAUUUUUCAAGAGUAACAUUUGAAGAGGGCCUGAUUUUUUUUCAUAGAUUUUUUUCAAAUCGAUGUAGCUCAAAAAUGACAAGACCUACAAAAAAGUGUUGUAUGGCGGACUAUCGUGAAAUUCCAGGAAGUUUUUUAGAAAAAUAUCUUAAAAAUACAAAAUUAAUUCCUACACUUAAAAAUAAAGGUUUUAAAAAAUUAAAUCGAUAUUACAAAAAACCCUAUGUUUUUAAAUCGAUGAUUUUUUUUUCUGAAAAAAGGUAUUUCAAUUACCUACAUUUUCUCCAAACAAUGUUGCUGUGACAUAUAUAAGGGAAAAAAGUUUUUCUAACAAAAACUUUUUUCAUGUCCACAUUGAGUGAAUAUUUUUCAUCGUGUUUCGUGCCAACAUGGCCAUAUAUAGGUUCAUUAGCCUCUCCUCAACCAAUGAAACUUUAUGGAUGUUUAAAAAAUUGUUGAAGAAGCAAUUUUGCAUAAUCUAACAUUUAUCUAGACUACCAUUUGAAAAGGGCGUAUUAGGGUGGCCCACACUUAUAUGAAAAACAUAAAAUUCGAAAAAUGACAAGUCUUCCAAAAUUAACAUUAACAGUCGAAUCCUAAGGAAGUCCAGUUCUAAAUAAUGUUAAAGUUGUUUUAAUUUCCAACACACUCAUCCAUUUGUUUUAACCAUUCAUUAAUAAAUAUUACUUGAGCCAACAUAAUCAAGGUUUUUUCUAAUAUCAUUUUUAAUAGAAAUUCCUUUAAAAUUUCCAGAAAAUAAUGGCAGAAAUCUCGAACGAUUUUUUAUUAUAUUGAUACAGAAAAUGUAUGAGAAAAAAAAACAAGAUUAAUCCACCUAGUGGUAAUAAUGCCUUUCUCGUCCAAUAUGUACUUAUGAUCUUUCCAUCGACGUUAGCCAAAAUAUUCCUGAGUCCUGUGAACACUUCAUAUAGUAAAGCAACAAUUUUAACAAAGCCAUCAUCAAUUAGGGAAACUUAUUGAUGGUACAUAUUCCGAUGUUAUGAUCAACAGCAAAACAGAGCUAAACAAUAUCAGACCUCUCAGUUGACUGCUUGACCACCUUAUCCCUAGUCGUUCAUUGGGGUCAUUAUGACCCCAUUCCAGGCACUUCGGCAGCGGGGUGAGCGGCAGCUAAUGCAUGAAGAAGGUUGACUUCAUUCACAAUCACAGAUCACUUUGUGAUCUUCGACAAUUUUUUUUUCCAGCACACUUCAGGCUAUAUUAUGUUAUCAUUGGUCCUUACUAGAAAAAAUGCGGGAAAUGGUAAUUUUUCAUUCAAUUUUCAAUCGCAAUGAGAAGAGCGAGGGCUCAACCAGCCGUACCCAAAUUGUGAGCAGUAUCGAAAAUUACUUAGCAAAGCCAGGUCAAGAUCAAGAAAAGGAGAUUGAAGAUUGAAAAAACUUUAAUCGGUGUUGAUGUGAUCAAAUAAUAAUUUAACCAUAAAACGUUGAUCCAUCCUACUAUAUAUUUACACCGCAGGAAUCUGAAAUGGUGUGAUUUGAUGAGAUCGCUUUGGUUACGAUUUUGUUCUCUUGCAUAUAUGAAGACUUUGACCAUGUCUUCACUUAUAAUAGUUUCACCCAACGUUUAAAGGCUAUCAAAAAACCACGAUUUGAUUUGUCGCUUUUGUUCACUUUUAAAAUUCCGCUAUUUGAUGUGUAGCUUGCAUGGGUUUUGUUCAAUUUUGCGUUUGACUACUUCCGGCGGGACACCUGGAACCGAUUCCGGUUGUCUCAAAUAUGGUCUGAGACUAUGUUCUUGUCAACUGAUCAUCGGGUUACCUAAAAAGCCGAAUGCUAAUGUGAUCUGAGGUUAUUUUCUUGCUAACUGUUCGGCAAAUUUUUGAAUAAGCCGCGAUUUUAUGUGUCGCAUGCAUGAUUUUGGUCCACUUCUAUUUAAUCACUUCUAUUUAAUCACUAAAUACUAUUAGAACUAAGAUGUGGCCUGAGACUAUUUUCUUAUUGACCGUUCAUCAGAUUAUCAAAAACUUCUAUAUUUUACCACUUCCGGCGGGUUACUCGUCUCGUCACCAGUUCUAGAACACUACCGGUUCCCCAAAAUAUGGUGUGAGAUUAUUUGCUGGGUAACCGUUUAUCAUGUUACUGUAUAAGUCAUUGAUAUGUCGCAUGUAUCGGUUCUCUUUUACAUUUGACCAUUUCUGGCGGGACACCCGGAAUCGAUUCCGUUACACACUGAUAUGGCUUGCGUUUAUUUUCUUGCAACUGUUCAUCAUGUUACCUAAAAAGCCGUGAUUUUAGGUAUCGUUAACAUGGGUUUGUUUCAAUUUUAUAUUAAGCCGCUUUUCGAGGGAAAUCCGGAACUAGUUUCGGAACUACUGGCAGUCUUUUAUGUGAUCUUAGCCUACUUCCUUGAUAAGCGGUCAUCAAGUUGUCGCUUUGAUAUGUCGCAUGCAUGGAUUUGGUUCACUUCUAUAUUUGGCCUCUUUCGGCGGGACACCUGGAACCGGUUCUGGAACACUACCGGUUCAGAUAUGAUCUGAGACUAUUUUCUUGCCAGGUUUCAUUAGGUUAUCAAAAAAGCCGCGCUUUGAUAUGUCGCAUGCAUGGAUAUGGUUCGCUUUUAUAUUUGGCCACUUCCGACGGGACAUCCAGAACCGGUUUAAAUAUAGUCUGAAAC
This is a long non-coding RNA of Aedes albopictus (Asian tiger mosquito), 6285 nucleotides long. RefSeq lists it as uncharacterized. The transcript has 3 exons. Lineage: Eukaryota; Metazoa; Arthropoda; Insecta; Diptera; Culicidae. The record is from RefSeq and is a predicted model, not a curated record.